RNAcentral lists this ribosomal RNA (216 nucleotides) under Glomeromycotina sp. Its description in RNAcentral is "partial small subunit ribosomal RNA". The stretch from base 40 to 216 matches the Rfam family "Eukaryotic small subunit ribosomal RNA", at positions 686 to 864 of the family's 1831-position model. Lineage: Eukaryota; Fungi; Glomeromycota. The record is from RNAcentral.
GGGUCAGUAGGUUGGUCGUGCCACCGGUACGUACUGGUCUCACUGAUUCCUCCUUCCUGAAGAACCGUAAUGCCAUUAAUUUGGUGUUGCGGGGAAAUAGGACUGUUACUUUGAAAAAAUUAGAGUGUUUAAAGCAAGCUAACGCUUGAAUACAUUAGUAUGGAAUAAUGAAAUAGGACGAUCGAUCCUAUUUUGUUGGUUUCUAGGAUUGACGUA